UACGAAGGAUUCGAGCGUUAUCCGGAUUUAUUGGGUUUAAAGGGUGCGUAGGCGGGUUUGUAAGUCAGUGGUGAAAGCCCUCAGCUUAACUGAGGAAUUGCCGUUGAUACUGCAAGUCUUGAGUACACUUGAGGUGGGCGGAAUGUAUCAUGUAGCGGUGAGAUGCUUAGAUAUGAUACAGAACACCAAUUGCGAAGGCAGCUCACUAAAUUGUAACUGACGCUGAGGCACGAAAGCGUGGGUAUCAAACAGG
RNAcentral lists this ribosomal RNA (253 nucleotides) under uncultured bacterium. RNAcentral describes it as "partial 16S ribosomal RNA". It matches the Rfam family "Bacterial small subunit ribosomal RNA", at positions 524 to 776 of the family's 1533-position model. The record is from RNAcentral.